Molecule: long non-coding RNA, 236 nt
Filed under: Elaeis guineensis (African oil palm)
Lineage: Eukaryota; Viridiplantae; Streptophyta; Magnoliopsida; Arecales; Arecaceae
Description: long non-coding RNA (EGUI_LNC021167)
Source: RNAcentral
CAUCUGCACUCACCUGAUCACCUCUCUUUGUACUCUCUGUCGCCUCUAGGUCUGCUCGAUCGAUCAUCGUCGCUAUUCACCUAUCCUCGGAGUCACUGUAACCACAUAGAAAGGGAAAAUAGGAAAAAAACAACCUGCAAACCUUGGGAAAGAAGUUUUGCCCAUGCUGCCUUCAGCUGUACCUCCUUGACUCAUUUUUUUGGGAGUUCUAGCGCCACAACCCCCAAUUGAUCCCC